GAUACUGCAUCAAAUCUGCACACAGUAGCACAUCCUACUGGGUGUUGAAGGGCAGUGAGACAGAAAUCCAGUGUUGGGCAGUGUUGGUUUUUUGACUUUGGGUUGAUAAAGCUGGUAUUUUCACUGAGAAAUUU
Molecule: small nucleolar RNA, 134 nt
Organism: Sorex fumeus (smoky shrew)
Lineage: Eukaryota; Metazoa; Chordata; Mammalia; Eulipotyphla; Soricidae
Product: small nucleolar RNA SNORA8
Exons: 1
Source: RefSeq, a predicted model, not a curated record